Molecule: small nucleolar RNA, 135 nt
Organism: Balaenoptera musculus (blue whale)
Lineage: Eukaryota; Metazoa; Chordata; Mammalia; Artiodactyla; Balaenopteridae
Source: Ensembl
CGGUCCAUCCUAAUUCCUGCCGGUCAGCCUGUGACCUGCCAGGUUUCGCUUGUGGACCAGAGCACCCUAGAAGCCUUACCCAGAGGAGUGAGCGGGGUUUCGGUGGGCUCAUGCCACGGGCGCUUCUAGACAGCC